AGCGGGCUCCGGCAUUGGCCAGCCCAGAAAGGGGCUCCCAGAGUGCAGCGGUGGGCUGAAGGGCUCCUCAAGUGCCGCCAAAGUGGGAGCCCAGAUAGAGGAGGCGCCGAGAGCGAGGAGGGCUGUGAGGACUGCCAGCACGCUGUCACCUCUCAGUACUAUUUUAUGGUCUGUUUACAGUAAUCUUGAAAGAGAUAGAAAAGGACCUUGCUCUAUUGCCCUGGCUGGAGUGCAGUGGCAGGAACAUGGCUCACUGCAGCAUCGACCUCCUGGGCUCGAGUGAUCCUCCCAUCUAAGCCACCUGAUUAUCUGGGACUAUAGACCAGAACACGUUAGGAAACAUAUUCCACUAUUCAAAGGAUAAAGCUCUUCUUUCAAAUUGUGUACUGAAGAUAUUUAGUUAGAAAAAGACUCAGUAGUAUGCCUGGAUCUAGCAGAGGACACUGAGGAGUCCCUGGAAGAUUGCGGCAACACAAGACGGAGAAGCCAGGAUCCCAAAGCACCAAGUGAAAGACUGGUCGGCAAAAAUCCAUUUGAACUGUGAUGUGAGUGAAAAACAUAUGCCUGUUGAAUUAAGUAAUGAUCAAUGCUAUGCUCUGUUUGUACUCAUAGCAGCUUCUGUUAUGCCUUUUAUUAAUACGUCUGGCUUGUUUCCUUUUGAUCUCAGGGCUAAAAUAUCCCAUUUGAAAAACCACCCAUUUUUUUUCCAGUCUUCUGCUUUGUCAAGUUAUAUCAUAGCAAGUUUUUACAAUAAAUAAAACUCUAUAGUAAAAAAUAAUUU
This 781-nucleotide long non-coding RNA is filed under the name Homo sapiens (human). Its description in RNAcentral is "HSALNT0112583". The record is from RNAcentral. Lineage: Eukaryota; Metazoa; Chordata; Mammalia; Primates; Hominidae.